UACGAAGGGGGCUAGCGUUGCUCGGAAUCACUGGGCGUCAAGCGCACGUAGGCGGAUUGCUAAGUCAGGGGUGAAAUCCUGGAGCUCAACUCCAGAACUGCCCUUGAUACUGGCGGUCUCGAGUCCGGGAGAGGUGAGUGGAACUGCGAGUGUAGAGGUGAAAUUCGUAGAUAUUCGCAAGAACACCAGUGGCGAAGGCGGCUCACUGGACCGGAACUGACGCUGAGGCGCGAAAGCGUGGGGAGCAAACGGG
Molecule: ribosomal RNA, 253 nt
Filed under: uncultured bacterium
Lineage: Bacteria
Description: partial 16S ribosomal RNA
Rfam family: Bacterial small subunit ribosomal RNA
Source: RNAcentral